Molecule: long non-coding RNA, 329 nt
Organism: Dermacentor silvarum
Lineage: Eukaryota; Metazoa; Arthropoda; Arachnida; Ixodida; Ixodidae
Exons: 2
Source: RefSeq, a predicted model, not a curated record
GUUAUGCGCCAGACACUCCCCCGAAGCCAGCGAGGAUGGCUGCGCGCGCGUUUGAGCGCUCGCGCGCGGCGACCCGUCUGUCUCCUUCUUUUUUUCUUUUUUAAAUGUAACCUGGUUUAUUGGGCUUUCGGCGUAUUCUUGCGUUCCUUCUGCACUGAGACAAGACACCACUGCACUAUUGGACUAUACGGCAAGCUGGUGCCGUCCGGUGGAGCUUCAUACAGGAACUACUGCCUUACUUGCUGGUGUCACAACGUUGGAUGAACGCACAAAAAGCGCGGAACGAGCUUUUAUAUAGAGCAAAAUAAAUAUUUCCUAAUUGCACAAAA